RNAcentral lists this ribosomal RNA (463 nucleotides) under uncultured bacterium. Its description in RNAcentral is "partial 16S ribosomal RNA". It matches the Rfam family "Bacterial small subunit ribosomal RNA", at positions 28 to 507 of the family's 1533-position model. The record is from RNAcentral.
GACGAACGCUGGCGGCGUGCUUAACACAUGCAAGUCGAACGGAAAGGCCUUUUCGGAGGUACUCGAGUGGCGAACGGGUGAGUAACACGUGGGUGAUCUGCCCUGCACUCUGGGAUAAGCCUGGGAAACUGGGUCUAAUACCGGACAGGACCGCACUUUAGAGUGCGGGGUGGAAAGUUUUUUCGGUGUAGGAUGGGCCCGCGGCCUAUCAGCUCGUCGGUGGGGUAAUGGCCUACCAAGGCGGCGACGGGUAGCCGGACAGAGAGGUUGGUCGGCCACACAGGGACUGGGGUACGACCAAGACACCUACGAGAGGCAGCAGUGGGGAGAAUUGCACAAUGGGCGCAAGCCUGAUUCAGCGACGCCGCGUGGGGGAUGACGGCCUUCGGGUUGUAAACUCCUUUCGCCGGGGACGAAGCGUUUUGUGACGGUACCUGGAGAAGAAGCACCGGCUAACUACGUG